This is a non-coding RNA of Erythranthe guttata (spotted monkey flower), 285 nucleotides long. Lineage: Eukaryota; Viridiplantae; Streptophyta; Magnoliopsida; Lamiales; Phrymaceae. The record is from RefSeq and is a predicted model, not a curated record.
GUGAAUUGUGUUGAGAAGAUGACCGGUAGAAUCUUUUCUGAAAUAAUUGAUACCGAAACAUUUUCUGAUUAAUACCAUCACAUGGAUACAGUUAUUGGAUUGAGGUAUAUUUAGAUUAAUUAGAUUAAUUGUUUCUAAGAGCAAUAUUUUAUUUAUGUUUUGAAGUUCAUGAACUAUUUAACACGAGGGAAUGUUUAUCCCUUGAUUCGUUUUAGUUUUCACAUGUUUCGUAUCAACUCUUAUAUUUCAUGCUUUAAAUAUGAACGAUUAUAUUUUUUUUUCUGA